UCACACAGGCUUCCCAGGCAUCUUCCUGACAUAGGCUCUGCCCUUCACUGGCAGCCUGGUGUGGCGGGUGUGGGGGAGGCCGGGAGACACUUUUAGAUGUGCCCAGUGCGUGGCACUGCCAGGAGGAGGGCGGCAGCGGCCACUUAGCACUUCGCUCCCCGUUGAGCUAAAGACUGGGGAAGAGAAGUGGAAGGCAAGAGGCGAGAAAAGCAUCUGCGGGCUUGGAGGAGGUGCAGAGGAGGACAGCACUUCCGAAAGGCUGCGUGCCUUGGUUUCCUUCAGUCAUCGGAGCUCUCGCUUUUGUCUUUAAAAGAUAUUUCCAAUCAGAAGCUCAUCUGAACGAGAACAAGAAAGCAGGAAGCACACUUUGUGAGUUGCAAGGAGGAGCCCGGGGAAGGGUCUGUCUAGCGCCUGUUUGAGGAGUCAGGACAUCGGGCCCAGCAAGGCCUCCUGAGAGGCUAUUUCUCACCUCCCACCGCACUGGGAAGCUGGUGUCACAAAGUCUGCCAGGCUGUUUCUGGCUCCAGGGCUGCAUUUGGCUGGCAUUUUAUUUAGCUUGUGACAUUCUUGGCUGUUCUUAUUCUGGUGGGCAUCAACACUGCUCGGAUCUGCUGAAUUUAGAGUCCUCUCAGAAUCCCUUUGUUUCAAGAUGGCUUCACAGCCACCCCCGCCCCUGACCCAGUUUAAAUAGCCAAGUGUGUGUAUUCCGGAGUCACAGUUCUGGACCUGUAGACAUCGAGGCCCCAUGAAACAUUGUGGCUGCAUUUACAGCAGGUCCCUGUGCAAGGCUAUAGGCAAAGCUUUCGGAAGGAGGAACCAGGGAAUGUUCGUGUGCAAAACGUGCUUGGCAUGCUCUGGAAUUCCAUCAGGCCCGCCGGCCCCGAAGCAGCCUCCUGCUGGCCCUCACGCUGCGGGGGAUUCAUGUGGUCUGCACGGUCUGCGGUUCAGCAGGGGGCCUGCCGCACUGCAUUUCUCACAAGCUCCUGGUGGACAUCUGUGCCACUGACCUGAGGACCACUCUCAGGACAGCAAAGCUGACAUUGGUGAAAGGGUGGUGGCCUACGAGAAAGCUUCCAAAAUGGAAAUUCUGACAACUUCCUGGGGACUGCUCUCCUGAAAAUGAAAAUGAAAAUGAAAAAGAUUCUUCUCAGAGUGUCUUGGAGGGGAACAGAAGAAAUAAUAUGCAAGCAUGAAAAAAAUUAAAAUUGACAUCAAAUGUUUACCAAGAGCAACUUCAGAGAGGUCAAUCUACCCAGAAGAUGAAAUCACAGACCAGAAGGUUUCUAUGGUUAAGUCAAAUCAGAAAGAGGAAAUUCAAGGUUGCUAAAUACUCACUUAAAAGCUACUAAAGUAGAUCUCUUCCACUUUAAGUGAUCUUUAAAGGUCAUUUAGUAUGAGGACACAUUUAUCCCCACACAUGGAGAAGAAACUGGCAAUGAAUGAAUUCCUCCUUUCCACUUUUCCCCUUUCUGUAUUAUUUCCCAGAAAGUUCCAUUAUUAAACCACUUUGAAAUGUGAUGAUAUUUGAAAUUAUACUCUGUCUUAAAACA
Long non-coding RNA from Cavia porcellus (domestic guinea pig), 1550 nucleotides. RefSeq lists it as uncharacterized. The record is from RefSeq and is a predicted model, not a curated record. The transcript is spliced from 4 exons. NCBI's taxonomy places the organism in Eukaryota, Metazoa, Chordata, Mammalia, Rodentia, Caviidae.